RNAcentral lists this ribosomal RNA (513 nucleotides) under uncultured bacterium. Its description in RNAcentral is "bacterial SSU rRNA". It matches the Rfam family "Bacterial small subunit ribosomal RNA", at positions 387 to 918 of the family's 1533-position model. The record is from RNAcentral.
UCCAGCCAUGCCGCGUGAGUGAUGAAGGCCUUAGGGUCGUAAAGCUCUUUCGCCAGAGAUGAUAAUGACAGUAUCUGGUAAAGAAACCCCGGCUAACUCCGUGCCAGCAGCCGCGGUAAUACGGAGGGGGUUAGCGUUGUUCGGAAUUACUGGGCGUAAAGCGCGCGUAGGCGGAUUAGUCAGUUAGAGGUGAAAUCCCGGGGCUCAACCCCGGAACUGCCUUUAAUACUGCUAGUCUUGAGUUCGAGAGAGGUGAGUGGAAUUCCGAGUGUAGAGGUGAAAUUCGUAGAUAUUCGGAGGAACACCAGUGGCGAAGGCGGCUCACUGGCUCGAUACUGACGCUGAGGUGCGAAAGUGUGGGGAGCAAACAGGAUUAGAUACCCUGGUAGUCCACACCGUAAACGAUGAAUGCCAGUCGUCGGGUAGCAUGCUAUUCGGUGACACACCUAACGGAUUAAGCAUUCCGCCUGGGGAGUACGGUCGCAAGAUUAAAACUCAAAGGAAUUGACGGGG